AGGUUCUUGUACGGAAUAUACCACCAGAUCCUGAUGAAUCAGUUAGCAAGCUUGUGGAACAUUUCUUCCUUGUCAAUCAUCCUGAUCAUUAUCUGAAACAUCAGGUAAUCACUAAAUUUUGGAACAUCUCCCAUUUGAAGAAUCAUCUGCAAAUUCAAAUGUAAGGAAGUGUGCAGUGCAAGCAAUUAUCAGGUGUUGGCUGCCCAGGAAGAAGGAAAGGUCAGUCCAGACAUGACAUUUAACUCUAAUAAUGGAGGUAUGUAGUGCCUACUGCUCCCUUGUCCCUUGCUACCGUCUGGGGAUGCUCGGCUCGCAGUCCCUGCUCUCAUUUUCCUCCAGCCUCUGGUAACCCUCCUCCUCACCCGCCUCGCCGAAGCGGGAUUCACAGGUUAGUUUAGUUUUGGAGGGAUUUCCUGUGGUUGUGCGUGAAUCCAGUGUUCACUGGGCUUGUAUGUUUCAUCCCUAAUAUGCUAGCUCCUGCCUAAACACGCAUUAGAGAAUCUCAUGUAUGUAACAGAAGAUACACAAAUGUGGUUUUCCAGGGAGCAUCAGGUACAACUUAUGUGGGGAUGAACCAUCAGCUAAAGGGAGUGAUAGGAAAAUAUUUUGUUGAAUGCAAUGGGAAGGCGAAAAACGACACGCCUUGGCGAAGCAACUCUAAGAUUCGGUAAGGCUAAUCAAGUCUGCAAUCAAAUCCAAGAGCAGGGGCAGAGAAAACCGUUAAAAUACUUUUUAGCUAUUGAUUGAAGUGACUGGUAAUCAGUAGCAGGAGCAACAGUUGUAGUAAGAACCUACCUAGGCAUAUUUUCUCUCUUUCCUAUCACAUGGCACAUUGAAUAACUUUAUAGUACAAAUACAUUCACAUAUGUUAUUUUAAAUUAUCAUGUCAUGGAGGUUCUCGUUAUUUCGAAUCUUUGGUUGGAACCUUCAUUUUGUGUUAUUAAAUGCACAUGGUAUUCAGUUAUCGCCAUUAUGGUGAGAAGACUUUGAUCUUGAUAUAUCAGAUUUAAGCCUCUUACACCAUAGGAGGUCCUCCUUUUGGUGAUAUUCACUCAUAUGUCAUUUUAAAUUAUCAUGUCAUGGAGGUGCUGGGUAUUUCGAAUCUUUGGUUGGAACCUUCAUUUUGCGUUAAAUUCACAUGGUAUUCAGUUAUCUCCAUUAUUGCCAGUAGCAACGCACAAGCACUUUCUAUUAAAUGCACAUGCUAUUUUCUUUUGUAUCAUGUCAUUUUGUGGUCAUUAACAAUCAGAUGGAUGAAACUGAUCUUGUUUUGUGCAUCAUGGAUUUUCCUCAACUGAAUGAGUAGAAACAUAAGUGUGCAAUGUAGUAGCCCCUCUAUUCCAUUGUUAUAAAUAUUAUAGUUUUUCAAUCUGCUGACCUGAUCGUAACAGCUGUUUAAAAGGAAGUGAUCACAUCACUAUUUAGAUUUUACUUUUUUUUUGUAUGCUUAAACAUAAGAUUAGUUUGUCCCCUUUCUUUUUACCCUUCAUGCUAACAUAAUAAAUACAUAUUUGAACUGAAUUGGUUGUAUUACAUAUGCCACGAAGGAUGUCGCCGCUUGAAGCUCGAUUUCCAUCAGCCCCUCUUUUAAUUCACUUGCAUUGUUUCAGCUUUGCAUUGUACUUCUUUGACGAAUUACCUCAUCCAAUCGGCUUUAAUUCGGAGCGUCAGUCUUACUAAUUAUCAUUGCCUUAACUUUCCAUAUGAACCUCUUACAGGAAACAAGGACUCCUAUUUGUCUGUAGUACUGCCCAUGAGACUCAACCUUGUUUUACCUUAAUUAUCAUGGUGUGCCUUUUUUUAUAAUAGCUCACCAUUUUGUUAGUGGCAAUAAAAUGCAUCUUUAGGCACACCUAUAGCGCACAUGUGAUGAUGUACAGAUGAAAGAAAGAUCUUAGAAGCUGAGAAGCCGAGAGCUGGAGGAACAAGGAGAAGCUAAAAGGACAGAAGAAGUCAGAGCAUGUGGAGCUGUUGGGCAAGCAGAGUUCUAUCUGGGUAUUUAGGCAAGAACAAAUCAGACGGAACAAGUUUGCUACGGGUGGGUGUGCAUCAAGCUGCUUCGUUGCCGGCGGCGAGUAAUCUCACACAUGUUUAUGGCGCAUAUGUACCAGAAAAUUCAAAAGGUUCUGAUCAUACGUGCGAGGGGAAUCAGGUAGGGCUUGAUGCGCCUUCCAUACGAAAUGUUGAUGAGAAUUACCCAAGUAGUCCAGAUGCAUGUCAGGUUGUUCGCUUGGUCUGCGCCAACGAGCAUCUCCUACAAGUCAUCAUCUCUCUCUUUGUCGGCUCCAUGUUGUAGCCUGCUAGGAGUCCUACCUUGCCAUGGAGCAUGUCCUUUGUCAUGGGUCGUACUGAGGACGCAGUGACAUGCAAGGCGAGGGAAAUUGAAGCCAAAACAUGCAGGACGGCCAGGAGUGUGCCAUUUUUUCUAUGACAGGGGGUGGUUCUUCAAUCUUCAGGGAAUCAAGCGGUAGCAUCAGAUGCUGACAUGCAUGGAAGCAGUAAACAUUGAUAAGAGUACAAGCAUUGGAGGAGUACUCACCACAUUCGAGGAAGUCGUCAUCAUGGUGGUGGUGGUCGAGGAAGUCGUAGGUGCUGGUGGCAUCAUCACGGAGCAGGCACCAUCUUCUCCUCGACUUAAAAUGUGGUCAAUCAUGGGGAGCUCGACUUCGCGGCUGACCUGGGCGCAGGUGACGGGGCACUCGUAGCGGCGGAGGAGUACCAGCAGCGUCGGAGAUGGCAGCGUCCAACACGGCGCUCCUCCUUGCAGGUCGAUGGCGGCGAGGAGCGCUAGCAUCCGUCGCCGCCUUCCUCGAGCAGGACAAGGCCACCGUGCCCGCGCUUCUCACGCUCCUACUCGACCUCGCUAAAAUAUCCAACUUUGGCUCGACCGUGGCGCAGAGGAUGCGGGCGAGAGGGAGAGGCGAUGCAGACGAGAAGGCCCGGCGGCGACGCCUGAGGAGAAGGGCGGCGAUGCGGUUGAGUCGCCGACGCGAGUGAGGG
Molecule: ribosomal RNA, 3000 nt
Filed under: Triticum aestivum (bread wheat)
Lineage: Eukaryota; Viridiplantae; Streptophyta; Magnoliopsida; Poales; Poaceae
Description: partial small subunit ribosomal RNA
Source: RNAcentral